Molecule: ribosomal RNA, 1328 nt
Filed under: uncultured bacterium
Lineage: Bacteria
Description: bacterial SSU rRNA
Rfam family: Bacterial small subunit ribosomal RNA
Source: RNAcentral
GAUAAACGCUGGCGGCGCACAUAAGACAUGCAAGUCGAACGAACUUAACCUUUAGUUUACUAUUGGAGCGGUUAGUGGCGGACUGGUGAGUAACACGUAAGCAACCUGCCUAUUAGAGGGGAACAACAGUUAGAAAUGACUGCUAAUACCGCAUAUGCCUUGAGUUACGCAUGUAACAAAAGGGAAAGGAGCAAUCCGCUAAUAGAUGGGCUUGCGUCUGAUUAGAUAGUUGGUGGGGUAAAGGCCUACCAAGUCGACGAUCAGUAGCCGAACUGAGAGGUUGAACGGCCACAUUGGGACUGAGAUACGGCCCAGACUCCUACGGGAGGCAGCAGUCGGGAAUAUUGCGCAAUGGAGGAAACUCUGACGCAGUGACGCCGCGUGCAGGAAGAAGGUUUUCGGAUUGUAAACUGCUUUAGACAGGGAAGAAACAAGACAGUACCUGUAGAAUAAGCUCCGGCUAACUACGUGCCAGCAGCCGCGGUAAUACGUAGGGAGCAAGCGUUAUCCGGAUUUAUUGGGUGUAAAGGGUGCGUAGACGGGAAGGCAAGUUAGUUGUGAAAUCCCUCGGCUUAACUGAGGAACUGCAACUAAAACUAUCUUUCUUGAGUGCUGGAGAGGAAAGUGGAAUUCCUAGUGUAGCGGUGAAAUGCGUAGAUAUUAGGAGGAACACCAGUGGCGAAGGCGACUUUCUGGACAGUAACUGACGUUGAGGCACGAAAGUGUGGGGAGCAAACAGGAUUAGAUACCCUGGUAGUCCACGCCGUAAACGAUGGAUAAUAGGUGUAGGGGAUGAAUAAUCUUCUGUGCCGUCGCAAACGCAGUAAGUAUCCCACCUGGGGAGUACGGCCGCAAGGUUGAAACUCAAAGGAAUUGACGGGGGCCCGCACAAGCAGUGGAGUAUGUGGUUUAAUUCGACGCAACGCGAAGAACCUUACCAGGGCUUGACAUAUAGAGGAAUAUAUUAGAGAUAAUAUAGCUCUUUGGAGUCUCUAUACAGGUGGUGCAUGGUUGUCGUCAGCUCGUGUCGUGAGAUGUUGGGUUAAGUCCCGCAACGAGCGCAACCCCUGUUCUUAGUUGCCAGCGCGUAGAGGUGGGAACUCUAAGAAGACUGCCGGUGAUAAAUCGGAGGAAGGUGGGGACGACGUCAAAUCAUCAUGCCCUUUAUGUCCUGGGCUACACACGUACUACAAUGGCUGUAACAAAGGGAAGCGAAGGAGCGAUCUGGAGCAAAACCCAAAAAAGCAGUCUCAGUUCGGAUUGAAGGCUGAAAUUCGCCUUCAUGAAGCCGGAAUUGCUAGUAAUGGCAGGUCAGCAUACUGCCGUGA